This 254-nucleotide ribosomal RNA is filed under the name uncultured bacterium. RNAcentral's name for it is "partial 16S ribosomal RNA". It matches the Rfam family "Bacterial small subunit ribosomal RNA", at positions 524 to 776 of the family's 1533-position model. The record is from RNAcentral.
UACGUAGGGUCCGAGCGUUGUCCGGAAUUAUUGGGCGUAAAGAGCUCGUAGGCGGUUUGUCGCGUCUGCUGUGAAAUCCCGAGGCUCAACCUCGGGCCUGCAGUGGGUACGGGCAGACUGGAGUGCGGUAGGGGAGACUGGAAUUCCUGGUGUAGCGGUGAAAUGCGCAGAUAUCAGGAGGAACACCGGUGGCGAAGGCGGGUCUCGUGGGCCGAUACUGACGCUGAGGAGCGAAAGCGUGGGGAGCGAACAGG